Molecule: long non-coding RNA, 3183 nt
Filed under: Homo sapiens (human)
Lineage: Eukaryota; Metazoa; Chordata; Mammalia; Primates; Hominidae
Description: HSALNT0157353
Source: RNAcentral
CUCCUUCACCUCCGCGCUGCUGGUACCUGGAGGGGAGAACAGACCAGUCAGGAGCCUGGGCGGGCGCCGGCAGGUCGAUGGGCACAGCAGGCACUCCCUGAGGGUCCCCGUCCCAGCGACCUCGCCGCCCGCGCCCCCAGGUCAGGCCUGAGAAAUGACUGUGGCCGCCAGAGAGAGGGAGCCCCUGGGAGCCUAUGGCCCAUGCGGGGAAGUAGCGUCCUUGGUCCCUUGCUGAGGGCCUGUGGCUAGGAGCUGUCGUCUUCUGGGCUGGCUCCUGUUUUAAGUGAGGCUGUGUCUCACAAACAGACAAGCGCCCCUGACUUUGUACAAGUUUUGGGCAAUGUCAAAGGUCAGAGAGGCCUUUCCCGGGGUGGUGUGGUCUAGUGUCCCCCUUCCCACCUGCUACAGGGACCUCCAGGCCCGGUGCCCAAUGCCCCCCCAAUACUGAGGGUCAGGGGGUCCGGCCCCCAAACUCUACUUCCUCACUCACAGCUAGAGGCAGACAGGUGGUGUCUCCUGAGAACUCCCUGGAGGAAACCCUAGGAGCUGGCCCAGGUGAGGCACUGCGGCCUUGGGGUGAGUCCCUGGCCUUUCUCCUGGAGAAGGGGCACACCUAUUCAGUAAAUACGGUUGGUCCUCUGUAUUCCUGAGUUCCCCAUCUAGGGAUUCAACUAACUGUGGAGAGAAAGUAUUCGGGAAAAAAUGGAUGAAUCACUACGGAACGUGUACAGACAUUUUUCUUGUUAUUAGUCCCUAAACAAUACAGUAUAACAAUGAUUUGCAUAGCGUUUACACUGUAUUAGGCAGUAUGCGUCAUCCAGAGAUGAUUUAAAGUACAGGCAUGCCUCCUUGUUCGGCUUCCCAGGUAUCGUGUUAUUCACUAAUCCAAGGUUUGUGGCAACCCUGAGUUGAGCAACUCUAUCAGCCCACUGAUCCCACACCAUGCGCUCACCUUAUGCCUCUGUGUCACAUUUUGGUAAUUUUUUUUUUUUUUUUUUUGCGACGGAAUCUCACUCUGUUGCCCAGGCUGGAGGGCAGUGGCGCGAUCUUGGCCCACUGCAACCUCCGCCUCCCAGAUUCAAGCGAUUCUUCUGCCUCAGCCUCCUGAGUAGCUGGGAUUACAGGCACCCACCACCACGCCUGGCUAAUUUUUGUAUUUUUUUAGAGAUGGGAUUUCACCGUGUUGGCUAGGCUGGUCUCGAACUCCUGACCUCAGGUGAUCUGCCUGCCUCCGUCUCCCAAAGUGCUGGGAUUACGGAUGAGAGCCACCGCGCCUGGCCACAUUUUGGUAAUUCUCAAAAUAUUUCAAACUUUCCCAUUAUUAUAUCUGUUAUGGUGCCCUCUGAUGCCUGAUCUUUGAUGUUACUAUGGUGAUUGUCUUGGAGUGUCAUGGAUCGCACCCACUUAAGACGGCAAACUUAGGAACUGUUGUGAGUGUUCCCACCGCUCCACGGACCGGCCGUUCCCUCAUCUCUCUCCCUCUGCUCAGGCCUCCCUGAGAAGCCCCAAUAUUGAAAUUAGGCCACUGAAUAACCCUGCAGUUGCCCCUAAGUGUUUAGUGAAAGGAAGAGUCACUCCUCUCUCACUUUAAAUCAAAUGUAGGGAGAAGGCAUGAUGAUGGCCAAGAUGGGUCAAAAUCUGGUCCCUUGCAGGAACCCAGGCCACUUGCUUGGUUUCUGCCCCUGGGAGUCUUACCACCUUCAUCAGACUGGCAAGCACUUUAAAAAGACCUGUAAUGUCGCAGUGUUUUCAGGUAGGUACCAUAGGUCGGUGGUCAGGAGCACAAGCACAGCUCCUUUGGAAAGCAUUUUGGGAGCUUCGGGCAAGAAUAAAGAAACACACACCUUACUCAGCAAUUCUGCCACUGGAGAUGCAUCCUAGAGAAACCUUCAUACACAGAGGCAGAACUGAACAAAGGUGUGCACUGCAGCAUGCUUUCACAAAACUGAAAACUUUGAAAAUGCCCAAGUUUCUAUGGUUAGAGGAAUGAUGAGUCAUCAGUGAAAUAAUCACACUACAGAAUACUAUAUAGCAGUUGCAUGUAAUGGACUAUGUCUGUAUGCUUCAAUGUAGAUGAAUCUCAAGAAAUAGGAUGCCAGAUAAUAAAAUUGACUUGCAAAGUAACCCAUAGGAUAGGAUAUUAUUAUAAGAACACCGACGUUCUAUAUUCUUCAUGCAGCCAUGCGUCUGUGACAAGGCUGCUGAUGCGUGGGUAAUAAAGAUCCAGUCCAGUCUCCCCUGGAGAGUGUAGGAGGGAAGUGCAAUGAGGGGCUGGGGGGUGACUUCACGUGUGACUUCAGUGCUUUAUUUCUUUUGCAGAAAAUGCUCUGAAGUCCAUUUAGCAAAAUCAUCAUUUGCCAGCUGGGGUGAUGAAUGCAUUUGAUGAUGAUUUAAUUUUUCUGGACUGACCAUCCUGGACCACUGUUUUCUGGCAAAGCUGUUCCAUUAGGGAAUCUCAGCCAUGGAUGGCCCCACGACCUGCUGGGUCCAUACUACCCUCGCUGGUGAAUGUGCUUCUGGAAGGCUCCAUGAGGGUUUACUACAAAAUACUCUGAGAAUUAUGGUAGUGAGCUGUGCCCUUGCCCCACCCUGAGGCUUGGCUCAUGCAGAACCUGGACUUUGCUGCUUCCCAUUGCCCCAGUCAGCCCUGGGGAGGGUAUUAAUGUCCGAUUUUCUCAGUGGGGAAGUUCCUUUACUGAGGUUGCAGAGUUUAUUAGUUGGUCGCAGUGCAGUUCAGUCCUAGGCAUCGGAUCACCCUCGUCUGUGUUGUUGCUGUAAAGGUGAUUUUAUGGAAACUGAUUACUUCCAUCAUUGUCUUGGCCUAUGUACAGUAACACCCUUUUCUGGGCCCUCUGGAAGAGGAAGAUGAAGCUGAGCCCACAGGCUGCCCCACGUGUGACCGGAUGGUGAGCUGUCCCAGGCAAGAACACACAGGCUUCCCUUCACUCAUUGGCUUUGUCCGUGGGGACAGGCUCUUCUGCCAGGUGGGGAUGGACGAGACUGUCAGUGUGAUUACAGUGGCUGGCGUUAUUGCAUGACCUUUGCUGGAUCUCAGAUCAGAACUCACAGCAACGCUUUGCCGCUAGCUGCGCUGAAUGCCUCUUCCUGACUCAAUGUCCUACGACUCUCAGAAUUAAAGUUUUCCAUGGUAUAAACCAUGAAUGUCAGAUUGUGGUAUAAGAG